CAACAGGGAUUGCCCUAGUAACGGCGAGUGAAGCGGCAACAGCUCAAAUUUGAAAUCUGGCCUAGGCCCGAGUUGUAAUUUGCAGAGGAUGCUUCUGGCGAGGUACCUACCGAGUUCCCUGGAACGGGACGCCACAGAGGGUGAGAGCCCCGUAUGGUAGGACACCGAGCCUGUGUGAAGCUCCUUCAACGAGUCGAGUAGUUUGGGAAUGCUGCUCUAAAUGGGAGGUAAAUCUCUUCUAAAGCUAAAUACCGGCCAGAGACCGAUAGCGCACAAGUAGAGUGAUCGAAAGAUGAAAAGCACCUUGAAAAGGGGGUUAAAUAGUACGUGAAAUUGUUGAAAGGGAAGCACUUAUGACCAGACUUGGGCCGGGCGGCUCAUCAGGGGUUCUCCCCUGUGCACUCCGCCCGGCACAGGCCAGCAUCGGUUCUCGUGGGGGGAUAAGACCGUCAGGAACGUAGCACCCUCCGGGGUGUGUUAUAGCCUGGCGGACGAUACCCCCGUGGGGACCGAGGUCCGCGCUCCGCAAGGAUGCUGGCGUAAUGGUCAUCAGUGACCCGUCUUGAAACACGGACCAAGGAGUCGUCCAUUAGAGCGAGCGUUUGGGUGUAAAACCCGCACGCGUAAUGAAAGUGAACGCAGGUGAGAGCUUCGGCGCAUCAUCGACCGAUCCUGAUGUUCUCGGAAGGAUUUGAGUAAGAGUUUUAACGGACGGACCCGAAAGACAGUGAACUAUGCUUGUAUAGGGUGAAGCCAGAGGAAACUCUGGUGGAGGCUCGCAGCGGUUCUGACGUGCAAAUCGAUCGUCAAAUAUGAGCAUGGGGGCGAAAGACUAAUCGAAC
Molecule: ribosomal RNA, 842 nt
Filed under: Diaporthe oraccinii
Lineage: Eukaryota; Fungi; Ascomycota; Sordariomycetes; Diaporthales; Diaporthaceae
Description: eukaryotic LSU rRNA
Rfam family: Eukaryotic large subunit ribosomal RNA
Source: RNAcentral